UUCUUCUCCUUUCUCAAAUUUUCCUUCUUGUUGCAGCAACAACCUGCCACCGUUCCUUCUCAUCACCAACAUUUUCUUCUUAUUUACUACUAUCCCAUUCUCUCAUUCACGUCCCUACAGCACCCUCACCACUUUCUUUUCAUCUCCUUCCCAUCACCAUUAAAACACCACCACCAACAUAUCUUCUUCUUCUUCUUGAUUUAUUUCUGCUGCACACACUCACCAUCACUUUCUCCUCUUCAUGGAAGCCGUGAGACCACCACCACCAAGCUGCUACUCCUUCUUCCUCUACUCCACGCAAGCACCACAACCACCGGGAGCAAGCCACCAAAGGCAGCCACCACCUCCAUUUCCUUCAACUUUUCUCAUCUCAAUUUUGAGCUUUUGAGUUAGAGGUUUGGAUCGAGUUGAGCUAAAGAAGGAAGAUUCAGAACAAGCUGUGAAGUUUCAGGAUAGAGGAGAAUAACCCAAGGCCCUAACAGGUGUGUCUCUGAGGAGCUGUUGAUUGCUGCAAGAAGGUGAUUGGGCUAAUUGACGAUGAGACUUCCUUGGAGUGAGUGAACCAACUGAAGACUUGUGGAAGUAAUAGUUAGAUGUAAGGCUAGAGCCUUGGGUAGAGAAGCUUACCGUCAUUGGUUGAAGCUCAU
This is a long non-coding RNA of Lotus japonicus, 647 nucleotides long. RefSeq lists it as uncharacterized. The transcript has 3 exons. NCBI's taxonomy places the organism in Eukaryota, Viridiplantae, Streptophyta, Magnoliopsida, Fabales, Fabaceae. The record is from RefSeq and is a predicted model, not a curated record.